This 387-nucleotide ribosomal RNA is filed under the name uncultured bacterium. RNAcentral describes it as "bacterial SSU rRNA". It matches the Rfam family "Bacterial small subunit ribosomal RNA", at positions 29 to 416 of the family's 1533-position model. The record is from RNAcentral.
AUUGAACGCUGGCGGCAUGCCUUACACAUGUAAGUCGAACGGCAGCACGGGAGCAAUCCUGGUGGCGAGUGGCGAACGGGUGAGUAAUAUAUCGGAACGUGCCCAGUAGUGGGGGAUAACCCGGCGAAAGUCGGACUAAUACCGCAUACGACCUACGGGUGAAAGCGGGGGAGUCGCAAGACCUCGCGCUAUCGGAGCGGCCGAUAUCAGAUUAGCUUGUUGGUGGGGUAAAAGCCUACCAAGGCGACGAUCUGUAGCUGGUCUAAGAGGACGACCAGCCACACUGGGACUGAGACACGGCCCAGACUCCUACGGGAGGCAGCAGUGGGGAAUUUUGGACAAUGGGCGCAAGCCUGAUCCAGCCAUGCCGCGUGCGGGAAGAAGGCC